AAAGAAGAAUGGAGAAUAAGAUUUACUCUUUAAUAAUUUCAUUGUAUUUAUAAAUGCACAAGUAGAUGUAUAUAAUAUACAUUGAUAAAUGUAGCUAAUAGCAGAUAAAUGCACAGUCAUUCACAUUUUAGCUUGAUUUACAUAAAUAUCAAGUCAGGAACUUAAGCAGUAGGGUAAGAUGCUUGCAUUGCAAUGCCACAUAGUCCUUCAGCAGCAUCGACUCCCCUUUGCAUCCUAAUGUAUCCUUCUUCUCCCCAAUCAGCUCCCCAUGAGUUCUUAACCAACCAAUACUUGCUUCCAUCACUAUCGAUACCAAAACCCACAGCAGUGACACCGUGAUCGAGCUCAGUUCCACAUGAACCAGUAAAAACACCGCUUUUAUAAAAUUGAAAGUCGGAUCCACUAGCAUCAAUGGCUACAGAAAUUGGUUGAUUUGCAACAGCUUUUUGUAGUGCCUGCUCAUUGUUGGCCGGGACAUCUUCAUACCCAGUAAUGGUAGCCGCUUGGGUGGAUGCUUGGUUUGCACUGCAAGUUCCAUCAACACCUUGAUAGGGGUAUUGAGCUUCCGUGCUGAGUCCAUGAUUUUGAAUGAUGAAUUUGAAAGCAUCAUCCAUAAGACCACCCUCACAACCUUGGUCCACACCUUUUGUGUCGCAAUCAACAAGUUCUUGUUCUGAUAAAGAGACCAAUUUUCCAGUACUCAACUGAUGAAUUCCUUCGGUUGCUGCAACAGCAGAAAAGGCCCAACAACAUCCUACAAAAGAUCAAUUAAUAUUAAUUAGAGUUUGACAACAGUUAAACUUAUAUUAGAAAAUACUGAUUUGAAUGCUUUAUUUAUUAGAUAGACACUUACCACAUUGACCUUGAUUCUUCACUGGCGUCACAGCUCCUUUCUUCCUCCAAUCAACUGUGGAUGGAAUUGUAGUUACAUUUUCAUAUCUAAAAGUAGUUGUCCUUGUGAUUGAGGAGCACAUAUGUCCCUUGAAUUUGUUUCUAGAUGUUGUGAACUCCUCGUUCGUGAGGUCUGCAAACUGAUUAAUGCCUAGUUUGUAUGAUUUGUUACUGUCAGCAUUGUUAGACGCUUCAAUGUAGUUCACGUUUUCUGCAAAUAUCUUUAAACGACUCUCCCUUUCUUGAGAAUCCUUAUAGACUUUGCCAUAGUGACUCAUCCAUUGUUGGUGCCUCUCAUAGAUAGAGUCGUCUUGGAGAGUGCGAGAAGUGACUUGGAGAGCACACAAUCCCAAGCAGAAUAUGAAUGUCAAGGCAAUACUAUGAUGUAAUUGAUUUUGAGCAGCCAUGUUGUGUGUGAGAAACAAGUGUUUUUAGUUGAUUAGUUAGCAGUUAAAUGUGAGAAAGAAGUGUGGUGUGUAUACUGAAUGAUCUUUGUGGUAUUUAUACUUAGAAAAUUCGAUGGUGAAUUGAAAUGAUAGUUUUCAAUUUAAAGAUUAAAACAAAUUUAUGUUCAAUAUGUAGUUACGUACUCGUGAGAAAUUUCUGAAUGAUACAUUAUGUGAAUAGCUAUUUGGCAAAGUUGCUAUGGACAAACUUUAUGUCAAGGGAAUCACUCAAAGGAAGCCUGGUCCGUUGGAAAUAUUUUGGAUUAUAAAACUGAAGGCAGACCAGAAGUUUGUUUGAGACAAUAAUUAUAAAAUGCUUAUGAACAACAAAUUUAUUAAAAUGUAUGGUAAUACUUCUAAUCUACAUUAAUAGCAAAUUAACUAAAGGUAAUACAAAUAUCAUAGUAGAGAGCGAACCACAAUUUAUCUCAAACGAGGAACAUACUAAUCCUAUUCCUAAUUAAAUAUGAACAAGUUUUUAAUUUGUCAAUAUACAUUACAUUCUUUACAAUAUUAAAAAUUUCCAAAUCCAUCCUUACGACCGACUAAUUCAAGAGGAUAUGCACCGACCCAACGGAGACUUUGUUUAAAGACAGAACAAAACUCUGUAUGCACCGACCCAACACAAAAAUUAUUAACAUCUAGUAGGAUUCAAACUCAGGACCUUGAGAGGAGCACACUCUCAAGACUCAAAUCUCCACUACUAAACCAACAUUCACAUGUUAGUCAUAAUGAAAACAAUCUGAAUUUCUUUUAGAUAUCAGAUACCCCAAUUGAAUUGCAAAACAGACAUGACUUUUAUAGUUGUUCUAAUUAAUGAAAUUUUUAUUGCACAAGUUAUUAAGUAAGUCGUGUAACAAAUAUAAUAGGAUAUAUUUUUCUUUAUAAACACCUUAAAUAAAAUCCUUUUAACACUUCUUUUUGAAAACACCAACCUUAAGAAGAUUUUUUCCUCAAUGACUCCCCGUCACUAACUUCUCAAGAGCAUGACCAACCUGAUCGCUUGAGGAACAUAACCAACUGGAUUAUAGCAGUUUGUGUUUACAAGUGUGCUUCUUAGAUAAACAUAUUACAUAAGAUGAAGUUUAGAUAAUUACACUUAAGAGAUAUGCAAUGAAAGUUCUACGUGUUUCUCUCUUUGUUGUGUUGUGAUGUUAUGGCUUCAGCAUCUACUAAGAUUCACACACAUCCACAUGCAUGCUUGCGUUCACACAUUCUUUCUUCCUUUUUACUUUCUUAUCUCUUUUAUGUUCACUCUCUCUCCGGCAUCUUGUUUUUCACCUUCCAUAUUCUUCAGAAUAUAUAGGACAUGAAUUGUUCCGUUGGAGGAUAGAAUAGGAGUUAAGCGGCGCUUGCAGUAGAGAGUUAUUUGAUGAUGGGACGUGAGAAGUCUUCUUUACUUUAAAAAUAGAUUUGCUUUUUGAACUCCUGUCACAUUAAGCAGAAAAGACAUUAAAUUAGAUCUUCUAAUCAGAGGCUUCUUAUGAAAGUGGUUGGAAGCUUGAGUAGAGAUUAGAAUCUAUCUUCAUUAGGAAAUCUCUUUUUGAUUGUACUUGAGUAUACUACUCGUCAUAAUCAACGGCUUCAUAUAAUUGAUAAAGUGAAGCUUGAUCAGAGUCCAGAGCCUAGAUGAUAUAUACAACAAAGUCUAUUCAAAGUGAGACUUGAAAGUACUACAGUCUAGAGUGAAUGUGAACAAUAAAUGCAGAAACAUUUAAUACUUUGUUCAUGUCAUAUGCGUUGACUAUAAGAGAAUAUUUCAUUUGCUUACCAACUCUAGUCAGAGGCUUCUAAUAUAACUUUGUGAAGCUUAAGUAGAAUUCAGAAGUUGUCUUCAGAACAUUUAGAGACUUCAAAGUCCUUUGAGUAUUGGGUUCUAAGACUUACAGACACACUUGUAGUCAUAGCUUUAUCAGAGUUUGUCUGGAUGAUUUCUAUUCAGAAACGUUGACUUGAUAAUCUUGAAACUUGAAUUUUGUUAAACACAUCUUUUUAUUCUUCCUUUGUUCAACAUGUGGUUUUCCUUUCUUCAACUUGCUUUCUGCUUUCUUCAGAGUUUGGCUUAUAUAAUUUGAUAUCGUUCAAAUCUUGCUUUGAUUUUAAGUUUACUUUCCAUUAGGCUUUGAUGUCUUAUGAGUUGACAAACAUAGUUGACUUCUUUCAGAGUCUUCAACUAUCAAAGUUUCCCUCAGGCAAGCAAUUUAAGUUCCUUGAUCAAAAUCUGCUUCAGUUAGUGUUUUCUGUUUCCAUUUAGAUUCCACUCCGAUCUUUUACUUUCUGCACACUUGACAAAUAGUUAGUGCACAAAAAAUUUCUCUUAUACACUUUGUUAUCAUAAAAACUUAAAGGUAUGUAGAUGUAAAACCAUACUUGUUCUUAUAAUCUCCCCCUUUUUGAUGAUGACAAACAAAUGUAUUUUGAUGAACAAUUUUUUACUUUGAUAAUCAUGUUUAUAAAAUUCCAGAGUUAGGUUUGUAAGCUCCCUCUGAAUUUUUUACUUUAAAAGUAAUUUCUUCAACUCAAAUCUACAAAGUGAGGUUUGCAAGCUCCCACUGAGUUUAAGAUUUAAAAUAACUUUGAUUUUAUUGAAAAUUCAUAUAAGAUAAACAUAUUUAUAAAACAUUUGAGAUAUUCUUGUAAGCUUCCCCUGAGUUCUAUACUUUCAAAAUUAUAUCUUCAUCUUAAAUAUGAAAAGUGAGAUUUGCAAGCUCCCUCUGAGUUUAAGAUUCCAAAUAAUUUUGGUUUCAAUGAAGGUUGAAUUCAGAUAAAUAUGCUAAAAACUUUAGAGUAAGGUUUGCAAGCUUUCUAUGAGUGUUUUGGACUAUAAAAAAUUCUUUAUCACAAAGUACUGAGUGAGGUUUAGAGGCUCCCUCUGAGUACAAGACUUAGAAUUUUGAUUCCAUGAAAUUUGUUUGAAAAAUAACUACUUUAUCUUUAGAGUUGUUAGAUUAAAUUAUUCAGAGUCAUUAUCAUUGACCUCUUCAGAAUGUUAAUGUUAACACACUCUUUAGAUCACUUCUCUUCUUCCCUUUUGCUUAAUGUAUGGGAUAUUAUCAACUGAAUAAAAUUUAUCAAAAUCAUUACUCUUCUCCCUUUUUAUCAUUAUAAAAAAGAAUCAUAGAAUGAUACCAAUUGAAGGAAGUUAAAAUGAGGAUAGAGAGAAUAAAAUAUUCAUGAAUAGAGAAGGUUACACAAAAGUAUUUUAGAGGGAAGGCCGGAUAACACAGAGAAAACACCAAAAACAAAAGAUACAGGAACUAAUAUCCAUAUGAUUUUUCCUAAGGAUCUCACUUCAUUUUCUUUUGAGUCCUUAAUCCUUCAACACCUUCUAACUUAUUUCCCCAGGAGGUCUAAAGCACUUCAGUUAAACCUUCCAUAAGUACUUUCUUAACUAUCCCUUUUUCAACAAACAGUUCAUAGAGAACUCUCCCAAAAUGAAUGAAGGAAAACUCACCCUCACAAGAGGUUAAGAUUUUCUCCUUCAGAUAGUUGAAGAUAGUAAGAGGUAUAUUUACCUUUACCCUUGAAAUGAGGAAGUCGAUGAGGUAUUGUCAUCCAUAGACAAGAACGGAGACUUCUGAUCCAUUGGUAAAAGUCUGUGAUAAUCACCAGAUAUCAUAACUUUUCCACAUGAGUUAGAUCAAAAGCUAUGGAAGGGUUUCCAGAACUUUUGGUAAUGGAAAGAAUGUCUUUGCGAAAGGUGAGGUUGGUUUUAUAACACACAAUAUCGACACCAUCUUCUUUACACUUAAUGAUAUCAGCAAUAAGUGAAUGAGUGAUGGUAAUAGGAGUGUUUAAGACAACAUACCAGAUUUUCUCAACAUUAUCGUUAUUAAAAUGAAUCGCAUCAUUCAACUAAAAGCUUUUGACAAGACCAGGAAAGACUAGACUAGGGAGCAUUUCAAAAUAGUUUCCCCACCGUUGAGAGGUAACCAGAUUUUGAAUGUUGGACCCUAUGGCUUUUAGCUCUUUAAUGUUAACAACUUGUUCGAAAAUGGUAACAAGCUUGGUGUCAUCGUCGUGGAAGGUUUUAAUGGAAGUCAUUUUAGGAGAUACCAAUUGAAGGUACAAGGAGAAAUUAAGAGUAAAAAAGAAAAGAAUGAGUGAUAUGAUGAGAGAAUAAAACAAUACUAGGUUUAUAUAUAGGUGGAGGAGAGGAAGAGUAAGAGUUUAAAAAAGACUCAAUGAACAAAUAGAAAAGAGAGAGAGAACAAACUAACUCCAAAGAAAACUGAAAAAGACACAAAACAUAUGAGAGAGAUGCAGAGAGAGAGAGAAGAGAGAAAGAUCUCUGGAGAGUGGGAUCGGAACACGUGAGAGAUUGAGCAGGAGCACGAGAGCAGCGACCGAGAGAGAGAGAGAUCAUUGCUAUUCUAAUUAAUUAAUGACGUAGGGAGUGCAUAAGCAUGAGUUUGUUUUACCCAAUUAAAAUAAUAAUUACCAAAAGGUUCUUCAAGUGUUUUUGACAACUUAGAAGAUAGUGGGACAACUUGUUACACAUAUUAUCUAUAACAAAGUACUUGAGAGUAACUAAAUAUUUUCUAAAGAUUAAAAUACAGAUAAAUUCCAACAGGGUUCUGACUUAGAAUCUUCUAAAGAAGACAAUCUUCUCACGCAGAAAGUUGAUUGGUUCAGAGGUGAAAUCUUAGAAUCAGAUUUAAUCAUUCGGAUGUUAUGCAUUAUGAGAUUUCAUCAUUCAUUUCAUGACAAGAUUUUACUGUAAGUUCUUUUCAACAAAAAGAAACUUGUAUUCAACAAGGGAUUUUAGAUAAGGUAUCAACCUAUUAAGGGUUUGUAUUAGUGAAUAUCCUUCUAAACAUUGCAUUUGAUGAAAUGAUGUUUAUCUUAGUAUGGUUGGCAUUUUGAAUGCACCAUAUGAUUCAUAGAUAAACACAAGGAAGAGAGUAAUCAAUGGGAAAGGAAAGUUUAUGUUAGACGAUAUAUCUAGAUCUAUAGAGGAGUGAAUAGAUCCCGAGUUAAAAAAAAUUGACAAAAAUAGUUUGAAAAUUUUAUGGCGUGGAAGCAAGUUACAAAUAUCCUGGAUCAAAAAUCGUCUAACCGAACCCGCUAUCAAAACGCUCGGAUAUGCGUAUUAACGACAACGGUAUGAUAAUGAUUCACAAAUCAAUCAACAAUAACUAAUCACAUCUAGUUGAAUGCAAAGUAAUACGGGAAGUCUAUCUCCAAUGAAAAUUCACAAAAAAAUAAAAAUGAAGCAAUUUGUCGAACACUUAGUGUGCGAUCAAUAAUGUUUGGAAUUAUAUGUGGUAUUGUUGUUCUAGAACUCCAAUCACAACCAAAUGGUUUAUGAUAUACAACAACACCAAUUUCAAAAUAUCUUCAAAAUUAUGAUCCAAACAAAAUUGAUCAACUGAUCAAUGUAAUCGACAAUUUUCAAAUUGAAAAAGAGAGAGAGAGAGAGAGAGAGAAAGCAUACAAGGAUUUGUUUAGGCAGUUCCCCGAUCGACCUCGUUACGGGUACGUCCGCCCUCAAUUCGAAUGCGAACUAAGAUAAUAUAUUAUAUCUUACUUUGCAAAUAUGUGUAUAUAAGAGAUGUAGAAAUCUAACCCUAUAAACCCUAGGCUUGAUGUUGAUUCUACCACCUCCAAAACCCUUGAUCAAAAGAUUGAUCAAGUAACCAACAAUGCCGCUUCAAUUCACCGUUUCACGCUACUUUUUUGAAAGAAACCCAUUUUCACCACUCAAACCAAAAACAAAGAUGUUAUCAAAACAAUGACACACAAUAAGAAUUUUGAUAACAUUAUAACAUGUUCAACCAUAUUUCAUGCAAGAAUAGAUAACAAACCAAUGUACGAAAUGCAUAUUUCAAGCAUAUAGAAAGAAUAACACAAAGUCACUAUAAGCAUAUAAGUUGACAUACAUCAGUACAAUUUUUCGGAAGUGAACAUUCAUGAACUAUUUCGUACAACAAGAAUAUUAAUUAUUUGGAGCACAAGCAACAUGCAAAAGUAAAAGCCUACUUACAAAAAGGGAACAAAAAAAUGGAAAAUGGAACAAUGUUACCUCUCUCAUGAAUUGAUGAAGGAUGCACUCUUCUGUGGUCGACCUUCCAAGGAAAUUUAGAGAAAAAAUAUAUAAAUUGGAUGCAACAAAUAAUAUUUAGGCGAGAUAUGAGACAUCAAGUAUCCCCAAUUCUCUUCGAAUGUUGAAAAAUGGUUCGGUUGCAAGAGGUUUUGUAAAGACAUCCGCAAGUUUAUUUUUACUAUCAACAUGCUCAAAUACAACGUCUUAUUUCUCAACAUGUUCAUGUAGGAAGUGGUGACGAAUCUCAAUAUGCUUAGUGCGAGAGUAUAUCACCAGAUUUUUGGUUAGAUUAAUGGCCUUAGUGUUGUCGCACAUCAUAGGAUCACAUUAAUUUAAUAUCAAAAUCAAGUAGUUUUUGUUUGAGCCACAAAAUUUGAGCACAACAACUACCGGGCGCUACGUAUUCCGUCUCGGCAGUUGAGAAAGCAACAAAAACCCGUUUCUUGCUAUGCCAACUUACUAAGGAAUUUGAAAACAUGUGGUAAGUUCCACUAGUACUCUUCCUAUCCGAUUUGAAACUGUAAAAAUAGAAAUCGGUAUAACCAACCAAAUUACAAUCACGUUACUUAGAAUAACAAAGCGCGUACUUAAAAUUACCAUGAAGAUACCUAAGAAUGCGUUUUACAGCUUUUAAAUGAGAUUCCUUGGGAGCCGAUUGAUAACGAGCGCACAUACACACACACACAACAUAAUAUCCUUCCUAGAUUCAGUGAGCUAUAGAAGAGAACCAAACAUACCUCUAUACUUUUUUACAUCUACAUCCUUACCAUUUUCAUUCCUUUCUAAGUUUCCAUUUGUAUGCAUCAGAUUGUUAAUCGACUUUUCAUCUUCCAUACCAAAUCGAUUGUCAUGUAUGGAACUUGCAAAAAAAUCUAGAACACUGAUUUGUGACAAUCGAUUGUCUCUAUUGUGCCACCGAUUUUCAUGCAUGCAUUCUUCAAUUUUUUUUGAAACUGAGAGUUGUGACAAUCGAUUGUCACAAGGAUGCAACUGAUUGUCACUUGGCGAAUUUUUUCGUUUUUUUUCCAAGUUAAAUCUUGGUCCAAUCACAAUAUUUCUCUCUCCACACUAUAAAAUCCAAAAUAUUCUCACUUGAAGAAAACCCUAGAUGCAUAACCUCAAAUUUGUCCCUCCCUCAAAAGUGAAAAAGGAGGCCCUACACUCUCUCUUCAACUUCAUUUUCUCAAAUUAUCAAACGUUCCAAUGUAGCAACAUCAUCUUCACCAAAGGUUUUCAAACUCCACUAAAUAUUAAGUUUGUUCUUCAUCAACUAUGUCUUUCUCAAAGAAAGAAAAGGAAAAUUCAUAAGAUCAAGAUCUUCUUCUUCAAAUUUGUCAAGACUUAUAGCCUCUCCCCAACCAAUAAAACAAUUUGAGCACUUAUUUCAGUUGAAAUCUCUCAUAUCACCAAAGUUUGGUUCUCGUUAUAAUUUACCUUCUCCAUGAUUUAGUUUCCCUUUACAACUAAAAGCUCAAAAAGUUGAAGAAUUGAUUUCGAUUUAUGGUACUUACUAUCCUGAUUCAGUUAAAGUUUUCUACUGUAACAUGAUCAUUAAGAAGGACAUGAUAAGUUUAUUUGUGAAAGGUGUCCCUAUCUCCUUCUCAGUAAAAGAGUUAGGUAAAUGGCUAGAUAUACCUUAUUGGAGUUGGCGCAACCCACUGCCGAUUAUUUCGUUGAUGUUAUCCAUUAUUCAAUCUUGCCAAUUUAUGUUAUGUUACGUACAUGACCGUAAACCACGAGAUGCAGGCGGGAUUUACAGAGAUGUCGAAUUCAGAUAUGUCAUAUUUCCACCUUCCUAUAUGAUAUAUGACCAUCCCUUUGGAUGACAUAUCAUGCCCCAUGCAUCUUCCCAUCAAGGGAAGGUUAUUGGCCUACAGAAGGGUCGGUUUAGAGGAAUCUGUCGAGAUGAUGGUCACCCAUUUGGGGGCUGAUCCAACUAAGGCGGAAAAUGAGAUAGUUGACAUUAGGGUUUCUCAUUCUAGAUUUAUUUUUUUGGAGCAUAUUUAUAAAAACCAUCUACAUUGGUUUGAGGAUGCAGAAGAUGAUGAUUUGCAUAUUGACUACCAUCAAACUUGUGCAUUGAGGUGUUACCUCUUUUUCUUGGUUGACACGUCUAUUUUUGUGGACAAAAGUGAAACCUACGUCAAUGUGGUCUACCUUAAUUACUUCAUCUACUUGAAGGCGAUUCACGAGUACAACUAGGGAGGUCGCCUAUUUGGUUUACCUAUACUCGAAGCUUAGCAAGGGUUGUCUUUGGAAGACAAAACAAAUGAAUGAGAGUUGCAUGUUGCUUACGGUAAUUUAAUGUUACUAAUAUUUUCAUAAUUCAUUUUUUACACUUUUUAUUAAUAUUGUAUUUGAACCAUUUUUAGGUAUGGUUCAUCUCCCACUUUCCUCACAUCACCGGGUGGGAAGUUGUGCUAGCCUACAAUGAGGAUUGACCAUGUGUUGUCGACUUUACACUGUACAAAGGGAAAAAUGUGAUUGAGCUAUUUCAAGUAUAUCUUGGUCGUACUCUAGCAUAUGGCAUUUCCUUCUACCCAUACGACAGUCAUCGUAAGACGCCUAUGAUGGACCUCAUUUCUUUAUAUUCCAGAUGAGUGUCAUGUGGGUCAUCUCUGAUGUAUCCUUAUUUUCUUGAGCGAGUGAUGCACUAGUUUAUCUAUUUACAGAUUAUUCUAAGACCCCCUCUGUAACACCCCGAUAAAAUAAGAUAAUUAUUUAAAUUGAGUUAAUAAUAUAUUUAUUAAUUUAAUUAAAUAAUUGGAAUUAUUAUUAUUAUUGGAAUAAUAAUUAUUGGAAUAUUAUUGGGAUUACUUAAAUUCAAAACAAUAAGCAUGUUUGCAUAAAACGCAGCGGAUAUAAAUCUCAUCAAUCAUGUAAAACAUGUAACAUGUUGCAUGUAAAAUUAUUCAAUAAGGUAAAACAUCUCAUCCCGAUGUUACAUCUAUCAGAGCACGACCACUAAGGAGACUACACUAGACUCCAAGCACUAGCUUCUACUCAUCACUGCUCGUUACCUGAAAAAUAGUUGUAAGGGUGAGUUUCUCAAUCGAUAUAAUAAGCAUUAUAAAUUAACAUGUAAUGCAAGUAAUCACACAUUCACCCUAAUCAAUCAUACAUUCAGCAGCGGCAACAUCAACUAAAUCAUACUCAACUCAACCAACAACACGUAUAAUAUGGAAUACAUCCAUUCAUAUUAUACGCCAUACAUACAAUGCAAUGAGACUCCAUGCAUGCGGUCCCGACUAUUCGUGAACAUAUAGUUCAACUCACCAACCAAUCCAGGUACGGCUACCAAGCUCACUAGUCCACUCAUUUGAACAGUGACCACAUCACUAAUUCCUCACCAUGGGAAUUACUACCACCCAAGGGCCAUGCUAUGCAGCGCUAAAUCACCUAGCAUGCAAACAUAACACAAUUCACACUAACUCAUCACUAAUUCCUCACCAUGGGAAUUAGCUACACGAUAAAGGCCACAACAUGCUUGCUAAUCACCUAGCAAUGCUACAUCAUCAACACAAUUCAGGAAUAGAUAAUGCUCACACUCUAGCCAUAAAACAGUCUAUUCACAAAUGCACACAUAACUGAUACAUUCACAGCAUCAUGCAUACAUCACACAUCAUCAGUAUUUUAUCACAUAAGCAUAUCAUAUCAUGCCAAAUAAACCACAGUAUUAGCACACUCUACUAAUACUAUACUACUCACAACAACGGGGAAUGUUCCUAAUAUAUCAUCAAUCAGCUAAACACAUUACUCGCUGAACAGCUAAAACUGCACAACAACAGCUCAGGAAAACACAAGUCUGCCAUACGCGUACUGCCUAGCCAUACGCGUAUGCCCAUUCCUCAGCCAAAUCCAUACGCGUAACACCAUCUCAUACGCGUAUACUAUGCGUACCACUUCCCCAUACGCGUACCAACAGAGACCAAACUCGUUCAAACAUCAUCUUCCUCAUCCAUACGCGUAUUGCCUAUGGCCAUACGCGUACCAUGCCAUCUCAUACGCGUAUUGCUAGUGCCAUACGCGUAGACCAGAAACCAACUUCCAGAUCUGCUAUGGCUUCUCUGCUACGAGAUCUAUCCAAUUCAACCUUCCACAGUCCAAUUUUUCACAAUAAUCGUUCAUAUCAUCUAACACGAAUCAUAACCUUCGAUCUCACAAUUUAACACUAUUGCAUCUAAUUCCUACGAAUUCCUUCAAUUUUAAUCCAGAUUCGUUCACCAAAAGUUCACAAUUUCAGCAUAAUUAUUCCAAUCAGAGGUAAAUCAAUGGUUUAUCACUACCCAUGACAUAUUAUCCCAUAAUACCAUUAAUCGACGAUAAACCCCCCUUACUGAGUUAAUCCGCAAAAUCUCUGAGCUUCAAGGUUUCCUCUUCAACCCUUGUUCUCUGGCUUCUUUGCCCUUUUCCACUUUUCUGCCUCUUCCCUUUUCACGUGAAAUAACUUUUUACCAAAUGGAACCUUUUUUACUGAUUUCUACUUUUAUUCAAUAAUAACAAAAUAAUCCAAUAUAAAUCCAAUAAUAUUCAAAUAUUAUUAUCCAAUAAUAAUAUAUUCCAAUAAUUUAAUUAAAUAAUAAUAUAUUAUUAACUCAAUUUAAUAAUUACUUAUUUUAUCGGGGUGUUACAACCUCUCCCCCACUAAAAGAGUUUUCGUCCUCGAAACAUACCUCAAGUGAAUAACUCAGGAUAAGACUCCUUCACUGACUCUCAAGUUCCCAAGUCACAUUGCACCUGCUGUCCGCCCAAGCUACUUUACCAAAGCAAUCUCUUUACCCCGCAACUGCUUCAACUCUCGAUCCCUCGAUCUCAUAGGUGAUGUUCUCAACAGUCAGGUUACCUCACAUGUACAUCAUCUACUUGGACCACGACGGAUCAGGAAUUUACCUCCUCAACUGAGACACAUGAAAAACCUCAUGUAAUUUGCAGUGACGGCGGAAAGCGAUACGAUAGGCUACUUCCCCUAUCCUCUCCAAAAUCUGAAAGGACCAAUAAAUCGAGGUGUCAACUUCUUCGACUUCAAAGCUCGACCACCCAGUUUAUCGGAGUAAACCGAAGAAACACAUGAUCUCCCUCUUGAAACUCAAGUGACUUUCCCUCUUGUCGUCAAACUUCUUCUGACGACUCUGCAGCAUCCUCAUCUCUCCUGACAUCUAAUCUUUUCCGUAGUCGUGUGAACAAUCUCCGGUCCACCACAGCCACUCUCACCGGACUCAUACCAACAUAAAGGCGUCCGACAUCUCUCAUACAACUUCAAAUGGGUCAUACAUAUGCUCGAAUGAAACUAUUGUUGUAGGUAAACUCAAUCAAAGGUAAAUAACACCCAGACACUCCUUCCCAAAACACACUCAAAAGAUCCUCUAGUGCUGAAUCGUCCUCUAGUCUGACCAUACAGUCUGCGAUGAUAGCGACUCAAUCUCAGCUUAGUCCAAGCCCUCUGCAAAUCCCAGAAUUUCGAUGUAAACUAGGAUCUCUAUCCGAAACAAUACUCGAUGGAAUACCCAUGCAAACUUACAACUUUCAUAAACAAUCAGCUAAUCUCUCUAACGGAUAAUCCAUCUGAUCGGAAUGAAAUGAGCCGAUUUCGUCAAUCUAUCAACAAUCACCAAAUGGCUCAAAAUUCUUAUUUUCCUUGGUAAACCCAGAAACAAAAUUCAUACUGAUACUAUCCACUCUCCACUCGGAAAAACCAACGCUGCAUAGCCCAGACGCUCUGAUGCUCAAUCUCGACUUCUGACAAGUCAAACAAGAAUAAACAAAACUCGCAAUUUCUCUUUUCAUUCCGCCACCAAAUACUUUUUCAAAAUCAUGAUACAUCUUCGAGCUCCAGGAUGAAUACUAAGCCACUACGAGUCCUUCCUCCAGGAUACUCUUCUUAAGUCGUAACAUCCGAAUACACACCCGAUACCAAAUUUCAAAACCAUUCUCAUCAACUCUGCUCACCACUUGACCUUGAUUCACUAAAGUCAACUUAUCAACCAAAAGCACAUCGAUUCUGACUCUCUCUAAUCUCAUUCAGAAUACCACUCGUUAACCUUCAACAUCCCAACUAACACUUAUGUGGUACUCUCACACCCCAACUCAAGUCUCUAAACUGCUCAAUUAAAUCCAUCCUUAACCAUUAACAUAGACAAUCAAUGAUUUCCGACUCAAUGCAUCACCACUACGUUUGCUUUACCCGAUGUAAUUCAAACCAAAGUCAAAAUCCCUCAAAAACCUAACCAUCUCCUCUGUCUCAUAUUCAGCUCUUUCUGAUCAAACAAAUACUUAACUCUUAGGCGUUGAAACCUCAAAUCUUGACCCGUACAAGUAAUGUCUCCAUAACUUCAGAACAAAUACCACGGCUGCCACAUCUAAAUCGUGCGUCGGAUAGUUCCCUCAUGAACCCUCAGCUUGUCUCGAAGCAUAAGCAUAACCUGCUUAUUCUGCAUCAACACACCACCCAACCCAACAAUGAACAUCACAGAAAACCUCAAAUAGUUCUGACGGACUUGGUAAUAUAAAAAUAGGAGCAGUAGUUAACCUCUCUUAACUCUGAACCUCUCACAUUCGAGUCCCAAACAAACGCUUGCCUCUAGUCAACACGUCAACGGUAACGCCAACUUAGAAAAUCUUCAAUGAACUUCCUAUAAUAACCUGCAAGUCCAAGAAAACCUCUUAUCUCAGAAACCGACUUCGGAGCUUCCACUUAGAUACCGCUUCUAUCUUAGAAGGAUCAACAGCAACACCACCUCUAGAAAUCACAUGUCCAAGAAAACUAACCUCUUCUAACCAAAAUUCACACUUGGAUAGUUAGCAAAUAACUUCUUUUCUCGAGAACUCCUAACACCACUCUCAAUGCUCAGCAUGCUCUUCUUCAGAUUUCGAAUACACCAAAAUUGCAUCAAUAAACACCACAACAAACUUGUCUAGGUACGGAUGGAAAUCCUAUUCAAUACUCCAUAAAUACUCCAGCGCAUUAGUCCACACCAAAAGGCAUUACAGAAUACUCAUAAUGUCCAUACCUUGUUCUGAAAGCAGUCUUCUGAAUAUCCUCAGCUUCACACGUAUCUGAUGGUACCCAGAUCUCAAAUCUAUUUGUUGAACACACUCGCACCAACCAACUGAUCCAUCAAAUCAUCAAUCCUCGGCAAAGGAUACCGAUUCUUGAUCGUCACUUUAUUCAGUGCUGUAGUCCACAACAACCUCAUAGUACCUUCUUUCUUCUUAACCAAUAACACUGGUGCACCCCACGGUGACACACUACGAACGAUAAAAUUUCUUAUCCAACAGAUCUUCUAACUGACUCUUCAAUUCAGUUAACUCAAUAGCAGACAUACGGUACGGACCAUCGAUAUCGGCCUAGUACCAGGUACCAAAUCAAUCGAGAACUCAACUUCACGCUCUGGCGGUAAUUCAUCACUUCUUCAGGAAACACAUCAGGAAAAAUCAACACCACAGCUAGAUCGCAAAUCACCAGUUUACUUUAGCCUCCAAACGCUAACAGCAUAAACAACUCUCCCCAUCUGCUAUCGCCUCAUUCACCUGCCUUGCUGAUAGAAACAAACUCUUUCCUUCCUCAAUCUCAGGAAAGAUCACAGUCUAUCAAAACAGUUGAUAGAAACUCGGUUAAACACACAGUUCAUACCAAGAUAACAUCGAUCUGCACUAGUGGAAGACACACUAGGUCCAUCCCAAAGUCACUACCAAAAAUACUCAAGGAUAAUUUAAACAACACUGAAGUAGUAGUCACUGAACCCUUCGCAGGAGUAUCAAUCACCAUACUUCCAAGCAUCCAGAUAUUUCUAACUUAGUUUCACAGCACAAUCCAAAGAUAUAAAGCAAUGAGUCGCACUCGUGUCAAUAAACUACAAGAGGAAAGCAUAUAUAACACGUACCUCGAUCAAACGAUCGUCUGCAAAAGUCUCGGAACCCGAUAAAGCAAAGACCUGCCUCCCGACUGGUUCUCUUUCUUCGGCUUGGACACUGUGGGCUAAUAUGACCCACCUCUCCAUAGUUGAAACAAGUCACAGUCUUCAACCGGCACUUUGCAGCCAAGUGACCACCUUUGCCACACUAAAACACUUCUUCUCAUUACUGGUACACUCAUGGAAACGAUGUCCAGCCUGACCACAUCGUAACACUUAGCAGGGGCACUGGAGUCUCCCACUAGGCCUCUUCAUCCCACUUUGUCUCUGGAAACUUGCCAGCUGCAUACGGUUUCCCACGAUCAUCUGAUUCUUGCCUUUCUAUCAACCCUUUGCUGAUAGCUCUCGCUCUAGCCUUGGAAUCCUGUUCAAAAAUCCUGCAACAGUCAACCAAAUCAAAAAACACUCUAAUCCGCUGAUACCCAAAAGCCUGCUUAAUCUCGGGACGUAACCCGUUCUCAAACUUCACACAUUUCGAAAAUUCCCCAGUAGCUCGUUAUAGGAGUGUAAUACUUACAGCUCUGGAACUUAGCAGCAUACUCAGUAACAGACCUGUACCUUGUUUCAAUUCCAGAAUUCUAUCUCUUUCUUCCUCUGACAUCCUCUGGAAAGUACUUCCAGAAAUCUCUCUCUGAAUACAGCCCAAGUGUAUCAGCAUUCCACAGCAGAUCCAACUCAGUACGGGUAGCACCCCACCAGUCAUCUGCUUCUUCUGACAGCAAUGCGUACCGAACCUGACCUCUGGUAAUCGGCACACUCAGUCACUCGGAAGAUCCUCUCGAUUUCCUCAACCACUUCGAGCACCAUCUGGUCGUAUGCUCCCUUAAACAUUGGAGGAUUGUUCUUCUGGAACUCACUCAGUUGACGAGCAGCUCCCAUUCCCACAACAUUCGGAUUUCCUCCAAGUACUCCAGCUAGCAUACCCAGAGCUCAGCAAUCGCACAUCAUCUCUACCUCUCCAGCCAUCUCUAUUCUGAAAACCCAACAAGCUAAAACAAUAAGUACUGAUAGGUUACACAACACCUAUCCCGUACAGGGAAACAAAAUAAUUACGACUCGACUCGACCGACUAUGCUCUGAUACCACUAAUGUAACACCCUUCUAAAACCCAAUAUUUAAUUAAAAUAAUAAAAUAUCUCAAUCAGAGUAAAUUGCAAUUAAGGGUGUCACACAAUAUUCACACCAUUCAACAAUAUAACUGUCAUGCUCUUUUGUUAAUUCAAACACAAGCAUUUUUGCAUAAAACGCAGCGGAAUAAAAUCUCAUCAAUCAUGAAAACAUGUAACAUGUUGCAUGUAAAAUUAUUCAAUAAGGUAAAACAUCUCAUCCCGAUGUUACAUCUAUCAGAGCACGACCACUAAGGAGACUACACUAGACUCCAAGCACUAGCUUUACUCAAUCACUGCUCGUUACCUGAAAAUAGUUUGAAGGGUGAGUUUCUCAAUCGAUAUAAUAAGCAUUAUAAAUUAACAUGUAAUGCCAAGUAAUUUCACACAUUCACACCCUAAUCAGAUCAUACAUUCAGCAGCGGCAACAUCAACUAAAAUCUACUCAACUCAACCACAAAACACACGUAUAAUAUUGGAAUACAUCCAUCUCAUAUAAUACCCAUAACAUACAAUGCAUGAGACUCCAUGCAUGCGUACCGACAUUCGUGAACAUAUAGUUCAACUUCACCGACCAAAUCAGGUACGGCUACCAAGCUCACAGUCCCACUCAUUUGAGACCUAGUGACUCACAUCACUAAUUCCUCACCAUGGAAUUAGCUACCACCCAAGGGUCAUGCUAUGCACGCUAAAUCACCUAGCAUGCAAACAUCAACAACAAUUCACACUAACUCAUCACUAAUUCCUACACAUGGGAAUUAGCUACCACCAUAAAGGCCACAACAUGCAUGCUAAUCACCUAGCAAUGCUACAUCAUCAACAACAAUUCAGGAAUAGAUAUAUGCUCACACUCUAAGCCAUAAACAGUCUAUUCACAAUGCACACAUAACUGAUACAUUCACAGCAUCAUGCAUACCACACACACAUCAUAUUUAUCACAAUAAGCAUAUCAUAUCAUGCCAAAUAACAACCACAGUAUUAGCACACUCUACUAAUACCUAUACUACUCACAACAACGGGGAAUGUUCCUAAUAUACAUACAUCAGCUAAAUCACAUUACUCGGCUGAACAGCUAAAACUGCACAACAACAGCUCAGGAAAAUCCAAAUCUGCCAUCACGGUAUUGCCUAGUCCCAUACGCGUAUGGCCCAUUCCUCAGCCAAAUCCCAUACGCGUAACACCAUCUCAUAACGCGUAUACUACGCGUACCACUUCCCCACACGCGUACCAACAGAGACAAAUAACUACGUUCAAAACAUCAUCUCCUCCCCAUACGCGUAUUGCUAGUGCCAUACGCGUACCAUGCCAUCUCAUACGCGUAUUGCCUAGUGCCAUACGCGUAUGACCAGAACCAAACUCUAGAUCUGCUAUGGCUUCUCUGCUACGAGAUCUAUCCAAUUCAACCUCCACAAGUCCAAUUUUUCACAAUAAUCGUUCAUAUCAUCUACACGAAUCAUAACCUUUCGAUCUCACAAUUCUAACACUAUUGCAUCUAAUUCCUACGAAUUUCCUUCAAUUUAAUCCAGAUUCGUUCAUCCCAAAGUUCACCAAUUUUCAGCAUAAUUAUUCCAAUCAGAGUAAAUCAAUGGUUAUCACUACCCAUGACAUAUUAUCCCAUAAUACCCAUUAAUCGACGAUAAACCCCCCUUACCUGAGUUAAUCCGGCAANNNAUACCCAUACAAUACAAAUGCAAUGAGACUCCAUGCAUGCGGUACCGACUAUUCGUGAACAUAUAGUUCAACUUCACCGACCAAAUCCAGGUCGGCUACCAAGCUCACUAGUCCCACUCAUUUGAGACCUAGUGACUCACAUCACUAAUUCCUCACCAUGGGAAUUAGCUACCACCCAAGGGUCAUGCUAUGCACGCUAAAUCACCUAGCAUGCAAACAUCAACAACAAUUCACACAACUCAUCACUAAUUCCUCACAUGGGAAUUAGCUACCACCAUAAAGGCCACAACAUGCAUGCUAAUCACCUAGCAAUGCUACAUCAUCAACAACAAUUCAGGAAUAGAUAUAUGCUCACACUACAGCCAUAAAACAGUCUAUUCACAAAUGCACACAUAACUGAUACAUUCACAGCAUCAUGCAUACCAUCACACAUCUCAUUAUUUAUCACAUACAUAUAAUCAUGCCAAAUACAACCACAGUAUUAGCACACUCUACUACAACACAAUACCUAUAUAUCACACAACGGGGAAUUGCCUAAUAUACAUACAUCAGCUAAAUCACAUUACUCGGCUGAACAGCUAAAACUGCACAACAACAGCUCAGGAAAAUCACAGUCUGCCCAUACGCGUAUUGCCUAGUCCCAUACGCGUAUGGCCCAUUCCUCAGCCAAAUCCCAUACGCGUAACACCAUCUCAUACGCGUAUACUACGCGUACCACUUCCCACACGCGUACCAACAGAGACUAAACUACGUUCAAAACAUCAUCUUCCUCAUCCAUACGCGUAUUGCCUAGUGCCAUCCGCUACCAUGCCAUCUAUACGCGUAUUGCCUAGUGCCAUACGCGUAUGACCAGAAACCAGACUUCUAGAUCUGCUAUGGCUUUCUCUGCUACGAGAUCUAUCCAAUUCAACCUUCCACAGUCCAAUUUUCACAAUAAUCGUUCAUAUCAUCUAACACGAAUCAUAACCUAUUCGAUCUCACAAUUUCUAACACUAUUGCAUCUUAUUCCUACGAAUUCCUUCAAUUUUAAUCCAGAUUCGUUCAUCCCAAAAGUUACAAUUUCAGCAUAAUUAUUCCAAUCAGAGGUAAAUCAAUGUUUAUCACUACCCAUGACAUAUUAUCCCAUAAUACCCAUUAAUCGACGUAAACCCCCCUUACCUGAGUUAAUCCGGCAAAUCUCUGAGCUCAAGGUUUCCUUCCUUCAACCCUUUUCUCUGGCUUCUUUGCCCUUUUCCACUUUUCUGCCUCUUUUUCCCUUUUCACGUGAAAAUAACUCUUUUUACCAAAUGGAACCUUUUUACUGAUUUCUACUUUUAUUCCAAUAAUAACAAAAUAAUCCAAUAUAAUUAUCCCGAGCAUGACAGUUAUAUUGUUGAAUGGUGUGAAAUAUUGUGUGACACCCUUAAUUGCAUAUUUACUCUGAUUGAGAUAUUUAUUAUUUUAAUUAAAUAUUUGGGGGUAUUUUAGAAGGGUGUUACACCCUCCCCCUCAGAGUCUGGUCCUCCCAUCAUCCGCUGUAGAGAUAUAAAUAUGAUUCUUGAUGAUUUAGAGAGUUACUUGUUACUAGAGGAUUAUCUUAGGGUGGCAGCUCCUUUAUAAUGGGCUUAUGCUGAUGACUACAUAACAUUGUUAUAUAGCGUGUCACACCCUAUCUUGACACCAAACGCUCUUAGAAGACCACAUAGGCCAACUAAUCAGGAGGUACUUGAGGCUAGAGAUGACCACACCGAGGACGUGUCAGGGGUCUGUUGGAGUAUUGUGGAGAUGGGGAGAUUAGGCAUAUAGGCAAGACUUUUUGAAG
RNAcentral lists this long non-coding RNA (19871 nucleotides) under Lathyrus oleraceus (garden pea). RNAcentral's name for it is "Pisum sativum (pea) long non-coding RNA (PSAT_LNC039263)". Lineage: Eukaryota; Viridiplantae; Streptophyta; Magnoliopsida; Fabales; Fabaceae. The record is from RNAcentral.